GUGCAAGUCAUUGGGAUUAAUAUAAUUAAACCUAAAGGCAUAAUUAACUUAAAUGUAUAAUAAUGGGAUUAGUUUUUAAUCUAAUUUUUAAUUAGGUUAUUAAUUCAAUCCCGGGGCGUUCUAUAUAGUUAUGUAUAAUAAUAUUUUAUAUUAUUUAUACCUCUAACUGGAGCGUACCUUCAGCAUAUAUGCUGUGACCCGAAAGAUGGUGAACUAUACUUGAUCAGGUUGAAGUCAGGGGAAACCCUGAUGGAAGACCGAAACAGUUCUGACGUGCAAAUCGAUUGUCAGAAUUGAGUAUAGGGGCGAAAGACUAAUCGAACCAUCUAGUAGCUGGUUCCCUCCGAAGUUUCCCUCAGGAUAGCUGGUGCAUUAAAUUAUUAUAUAAAAUAAUCCUAUCUGGUAAAGCGAAUGAUUAGAGGCCUUAGGGUCGAAACGACCUUAACCUAUUCUCAAACUUUAAAUGGGUAAGAACCUCACCUUUCUUGAUAUGAAGGUUGAGGUUGUGAUAUAAUGUGCCCAGUGGGCCACUUUUGGUAAGCAGAACUGGCGCUGUGGGAUGAACCAAACAUAAUGUUACGGUGCCCAAAUUAACAACUCAUGCAGAUACCAUGAAAGGCGUUGGUUGCUUAAAAUAGCAGGACGGUUGACAUGGAAGUCGUAAUCCGCUAAGGAGUGUGUAACAACUCACCUGCCGAAGCAACUAGCCCUUAAAAUGGAUGGCGCUUAAGUUGUAUACCUAUACAUUAUCGCUAAAGUAUAUGAUUUAUAUUCAAUUUCGAUUGAAUUUAAAUUUUGAAACUUUAGUGAGUAGGAGGGUACAAUGGUGUGCUUAGAAGUGUUUGGCGUAAGCCUGCAUGGAGCCGCCAUUGGUACAGAUCUUGGUGGUAGUAGCAAAUAAUCGAAUGAGACCUUGGAGGACUGAAGUGGAGAAGGGUUUCGUGUGAACAGUGGUUGAUCACGAGUUAGUCGGUCCUAAGUUCAAGGCGAAAGCUGAAAAUUUUCAAGUUAUAAUAUUAAUAAAUAUUAUUUAUUGGUAAUUAAACACUUGAUUAUUUUUGAACGAAAGGGAAUACGGUUCCAAUUCCGUAACCUGUUGAGUAUCCGUUUGUUAUUAAAAAUGGGCCUUGUGCUCAUCCUGGUAACAGGAACGACCAUAAAGAAGCCGUCGAGAGGUAUCGGAAGAGUUUUCUUUUCUGUUUUAUAGUCGUACUACCAUGGAAGUCUUUCGAAGAGAGAUAUGGUAGAUGGACUAGAAGAGCAUGACAUUUACUGUUGUGUCGAUAUUUUCUCCUCGGACCUUGAAAAUUUAUGGUGGGGUCACGCAAACUUCUCAACAGGCCGUACCGAUAUCCGCAGCUGGUCUCCAAGGUGAAGAGUCUCUAGUCGAUAGAAUAAUGUAGGUAAGGGAAGUCGCC
This 1418-nucleotide ribosomal RNA is filed under the name Zodion intermedium. RNAcentral describes it as "eukaryotic LSU rRNA". It matches the Rfam family "Eukaryotic large subunit ribosomal RNA", at positions 684 to 1918 of the family's 3401-position model. The record is from RNAcentral. Lineage: Eukaryota; Metazoa; Arthropoda; Insecta; Diptera; Conopidae.